GACGAACGCUGGCGGCGUGCUUAACACAUGCAAGUCGAGCGGUAAGGCCCUUUCGGGGGUACGACGAGCGGCGAACGGGUGAGUAACACGUGGGUGACCUGCCCUCAGCUCUGGGAUAAGCCUGGGAAACCGGGUCUAAUACCGGAUAUGACUCCAUGACGCAUGUUGUGGGGUGGAAAGCCUUGUGCGGCUGAGGAUGGGCCCGCGGCCUAUCAGCUUGUUGGUGGGGUGAUGGCCUACCAAGGCGACGACGGGUAGCCGGCCUGAGAGGGCGACCGGCCACACUGGGACUGAGACACGGCCCAGACUCCGACGGGAGGCAGCAGUGGGGAAUCUUGCGCAAUGGGCGAAAGCCUGACGCAGCGACGCCGCGUGAGGGAUGACGGCCU
Molecule: ribosomal RNA, 389 nt
Filed under: uncultured bacterium
Lineage: Bacteria
Description: bacterial SSU rRNA
Rfam family: Bacterial small subunit ribosomal RNA
Source: RNAcentral